GAUGAACGCUGGCGGCGUGCCUAACACAUGCAAGUCGAGCGAGAAUUUACGAAAUGAAGCUUCGGCAGAUUUUUGUAAAGGAAAGCGGCGGACGGGUGGGUAACGCGUGAGUAACCUGCCCUUAAGAGGGGGAUAACACAUCGAAAGGUGUGCUAAUACCGCAUAAUGUACAUUUGCCGCAUGACAGAUGUACCAAAGAUUUAUCGCUUAAGGAUGGACUCGCGUCUGAUUAGAUAGUUGGUGAGGUAACGGCUCACCAAGGCGACGAUGCGUAGGGGUUCUGAGAGGAAGGUCCCCCCACACUGGUACUGAGACACGGACCAGACUCCUACGGGAGGCAGCAGUGAGGAAUAUUGGUCAAUGGGCGAGAGCCUGAACCAGCCAAGUCGCGUGAGGGAUGACGGUCCUACGGAUUGUAAACCUCUUUUGCGGGGUAGCAAGAGCUCUACGUGUAGAGUAGUGAGAGUACCCGAAGAAAAGCAUCGGCUAACUCCGUG
Molecule: ribosomal RNA, 497 nt
Filed under: uncultured bacterium
Lineage: Bacteria
Description: bacterial SSU rRNA
Rfam family: Bacterial small subunit ribosomal RNA
Source: RNAcentral